UUUGCUGGGAACUGGACUAGAGCGGUGAACAAACGCAGCGGUCCCCCCCCCUUGUGGAGGGUUUUAGCUUGGUUUUGCUUUGCAAGGUUUCAGUUCCCGGGAUGGGUCAACCUCCCUCCAGAAGCAGAUGCCCCUCCUUUUGACGCAGUAGCGUCAUAACGUCAAGAGCCGCGGAAGGCUACGUCACAGUGGUUACGUCACAGUGCCUAGGUCACAGUGCCUACUGCGUUCACGUCCCUUCCUCUCAUCGUGGGGGCAUUUCACCAUCUGACGACAAACACCACGGCAACAAGUAGGAUGUUUUCGUUUCAUCCGUUAAAGCUGAAAUCGAGUCUGGGAUGCAUUUUUGAGGCUCUUACCAAGAUGUCAUAAGAAACCCCAAUGGAGGCCAUGGCCUAAGUGCUCUCCACUUCUUGUCUGCUGCCUCCUGACUACUCUGGAGUUUCUCCAUAAUGGUGCUGGGUGGUGUGCUCUGUCUCCUGUCUCUAGGACCUAUGGGAAGCAGGAGCUACCUAAGAUACUGUUACUGAGGAUGAACUCAGUACAUUGAAUUACUACUGGGGCAACUCUCCUUUUUCCCAGUGGCAUUGGCUCCAUCCUUUGAACAGAUAAGGAGCGGAGGCACACAAGAUGGAGUAAAAAUCCAAUUCUGUUAAAAACAGGUACAUAAUCCACUGUGUGGUGAAAAGAGCCCUGAGCUAAUCAGAAGACAUGGGUUAAUGGUUCUGGUUUUUUUCACUUAACCAGGCUUCAGCUGUCAAGUUUACACCCCAAACUCUCAAGAGAAGAAAGAAGGAAGGGAAAAAAAGGCCCACGUCUACACUGGGCUGACUCCUUUUAAAGAGACUUUUCAGCUGUCCCACACCAUAAUUCUGCUUUCAUCUCACUAGUCCAAACUCAGUGUCAAAGUCACCUCUAACUGCAAAAGAGGCUUGGAAAUGCAGUGCUUCAGCUGGUGAUGCAUUCCUAACACGAGUGAACUCAACAAAGGACAUGAGUAGAUCCGAGAAGCACCAAGAAUGAUUGUAGCCGAUGCCUUUGCUUCCCAUCAGCUAUCCUCUCAGGUCUCGUUGUCCCCAGACACACCUGCAGGAAGACAUGAUAGAGAAAGACACAGAGGGCCCCCAAGCUGCAGAUCCUGCCAGAAUUCUAAGGCGUUUUACGUGAACUACAUGAAGAAGUCGACAAGACCAACGAUAUUUAUAAGUGUUCUCUGUUGUAAGAUAUAUUUUGAUAUAAUUAACAACAGUUCUGAGAAAACAGGCAGGACGCUUGAGGAAACAGGCAGGAGAGGACAACUGGCUGGAAAGAGGCAGAUGAAGAGUUCCAUCUGGCAAAGAUAGAGCACAAAAGAGAAUCUGGGUCACAUUUCGGAGCUAUUGAUUAAAAGUUAACCAACAAAUAUUGACAGAUUUCCCACUCAGAAGAGGGAGAUUUACUUAUUUUGGCCCAGAGGCUAAAGUCAAGGCUAUAGGUGGCUCUCCGUUGACUCCUCUGGAACAUUGUGGAUGGGAAAAUAAGCAGUACUCGUGGAGGUAAUGUGUCAGGCAAGGCUCAUCUCGGGCAACAACCACUUUCCUCUGCAGUGACCCCAUUUCGCUUGUGGAUCAAAAAGACGUAGCCAGGAAAAGUGAGGACUGGGACUGGGCACCCGGGGUGGGGCCGAGCUGAGCCACUGAUCAGAAGGAACACGAGUACAAUCCACACAGGGCAGUUCUGCAGCAUUUGCUCUCCAGCCUUUUGCUUCCUCUGACUGCAUUCAUCAUUGCCUUACCAGGGGUUAGAUCAAUCUAUUGCCUUUAAAACUUGUGGUAAAGCAUCUCUUUUGAAGAAUGUGCUCUGAGGGAGAGAUCAUACUUCUUUAAAACAACCUUCUGUCGGUCUGUUUGUCUAAUGCAGGUUUCCCAGAUGCCUCAUUAGACUUUCAUUCCAAGAGCUGGCUUUCAGACCACAUUGAGCAAAUCCUCUUAAAGGUGUUAGUUGGCAUAUCAUCUUGUUAGAGGUUUCUAGAGAAGAGAAAAGUCUACUAAAUUCAGAGACAUUCUUUCCUAAUAUUGGAAUUCAGGCACCGUGACAAGAGAGAGAAAUUGUUCUCGAAGCCUGCCAUACCCAAAACGGUUUAGACUGCUUUCACAUUCCGAUACUCGACUAAAGAGUUAAUGAAGACUGUGUCUUAGCACCGGUGGUAUUUAUUUAACGUGCACUGUAAUCCCAGCUGACACUUCCUAAUGAGUUUAUUGCUGCUGUGGAGUUAAAGCUCCCCCACUCAAUAAGCAUAAACUUGAGUGUCAAAAAUGAAACAUAGUCGGCCCUGGUGCUUAAAUGGCCUGUAUCGAUCCUCUGGCAGUCUAACUGCUGUAGUCUGGUGCCAGUUCUCUAAUUUGUGCCCUGAAGUGUGCAGCCACACUUGAUUUAGAUGUCAGAAUGAGGCAGCACUCAGUUUGAGAAAUCAGCUGAAACAUUCUUAAAAAAAUUGGUCUGGAUAGCUUCACCUUGCAUUGUAAAGAUCAUUGCUCUCGUGUAAACAAGGGGCUAAAUAAUAUUAUUCCCAUAGACUUUUUUGAGGGUGUUUUAUCAAAGGAAAUGUCCUCAGAGUCAAAGCUUGCUGUGUUUUGUGCUUUAUCUGUACAGAAAAUUCCAUUUAGAGAAAUUUAAUGCCAAAGCUGUAAGAUCUGCAUUCCUAGAGAAUGACUAUUUAGGGCAUUGUCUUUGAAUAUGAAGUAAACACACACUGAGAAUGUUUGUAUGAGGUUCUUUCAAUGGCCAAGAUAUGCUCACUAUUCCUAGGAGUCAAAAGGACUCAGACAACUUAAAGAUGUGUGGCAUCUGCAAAACACCCCUAUGUUCAUAGCUAUAUUCCUGUCUCAGAGAAAUCAUCUGCCAUUUCCAAUGACAUCAAAGACGGUGGUUGAAGAGCUAACAGCAGGAAGGUCAGCCAAAUUUCUACUUGACACUGGCAAAACACGAGAGAAGCUCAUGAUCUCCUUCAAAGUUCAAAUGAAAAAUCCAAACGCUUAGAAUUAUAAUCUCGACUUUAGAAGAGACUUAUAGAUCAACUACUUGUUAUGACAAAAGAAAUACGUGCCCCGCAAAAAAAAAACUGAAGUUAACUUGUCCAAGGUAAAGAGCUUGCCAAGAGGUAAGGAAAGGACUCGAAUUCAAGUCCUGGUCCCCAAACUUUGUCUAGUAGGUCGACUUUUUACUAGAAUGGUGUGCAUUUUACUUUAAUCACAUAACUUCCAGGGAAAGGGUCUUCACUUUCUUUUUGUUGAAGUUUGAUAUUGUUACAGAGAUAACCUCGAUGUUCUGAAAAAGUCAUUAGCAAAGUGUUCUUCAGAUUUCCUGUUCUUAGAAAGCAUGCUUUCCUAAGUUUUUCAGUCUACAGGUUUCCUUCAGUUUUCUUGACACAUGAGAUAUUUUGAUAACUGUUCUUUACCCUAAAAUAUUUGAUCGUAUACAGUGUCAUAUAAAUGCACAGUGUCAGUUUUAAUCCACCCUCUCGGCAGUCAGCAAACUUGUAACCAGAAAACCAGAAGCUACACCGCUCUGGUGAUCAAUAGUACAGGUUUUUUGAAAUAGAACAACUGAGUAUUAGAAAUGGAUUUCUUUGGUUAAAGUAAUGACUAAUCACCUAGCAUAAUAGGUGCCAGAAAUAAGUUCUCCAUGACGAAAUGAAUGGUUAGGCUAAAAUAGUUUAGGGACACUCCACAUUUGCAUAAAAAGGGCACAGGAAUAUUGCAGAUUCUUUAAAUUUACCCUUGAAAAGGGCACCUGAGCCUGUAUUCUCAAGUUGUCCUGCAUCCAGACGAGUCAGUUAUAAGCUUGAUGAAUCUCGCUUCAGAAUUCUUUCAUCAGCCACAAGUAAAUCGGUCAUUCAGGGUGUGGUCAGGGCAUCUAAAAGGAGAGAGGAUAUCUAGGAGGACCGAAGGUCCUGGUUUGCUUGGGACUGAGGAGUUUCCUGGACUGAAGAGUUCCAUGCUUCCUGGACCGAGGACAAUCCUGAGCAAGCUGGGACCAUUGGUACCUUACUCUGCGGUUCUGUGAAUUGCUAGGUUGCCUGUUUGCUGGUAAAUGAUGAUCUGUGUGUGAGAAUUUGGUCUGACACUCGUUUUAAUUUUACAAAUUACCUGAUAAUCUCGUUGAGGGAAACCUUAUAUUUAUAACACCUAUUCCUCACUGUAGGUGCAACCAGUAUAUUUUUUAAAAACCUGGUGGUUUUGUGGCCGAAUUGACCUAGGGGCAUAUGCAACAGAUUGAGAGGGGUGGAGAACACAUUUUACGUCAUACCGGUCUGGAUAUUUGUGUACCUAUAAAGUCAUAUAAAUGAAACCCUACACACUCGAACACAAACAAACAAAAUGCAAAAACAUACAUAUACGUACCCUGUAAGAAAGAGGCAAAAAUUAUCUUAUGAUCUUGUGGCUAGCAGCCAUCAAAACCUUAACUCUUUAUAUUAUAUUGUAUUUAUAAAAAGUUUUAUAUUCUAAAAAGUUUAUAUUAUAAAUUUAUAUUAUAAAAAGUCUGUACAUGGAGGGAAACUUCAAGGGUCACACCAAGCAAGAUCUUGAGAAUUGUUCAAAAUGACUGAAAACCCCUUCACCCAGAUGUACAUGUACAAGACUACA
Molecule: long non-coding RNA, 4625 nt
Organism: Acinonyx jubatus (cheetah)
Lineage: Eukaryota; Metazoa; Chordata; Mammalia; Carnivora; Felidae
Exons: 8
Source: RefSeq, a predicted model, not a curated record